CGGGGUGAGUAACGCGUGGGUAACCUGCCUCAUACAGAGGGAUAACAGUUAGAAAUGGCUGCUAAUACCGCAUAAGACCACAGUACUGCAUGGUACAGUGGUAAAAACUCCGGUGGUAUGAGAUGGACCCGCGUCUGAUUAGGUAGUUGGUGAGGUAACGGCCCACCAAGCCGACGAUCAGUAGCCGACCUGAGAGGGUGACCGGCCACAUUGGGACUGAGACACGGCCCAG
RNAcentral lists this ribosomal RNA (232 nucleotides) under uncultured bacterium. RNAcentral describes it as "partial 16S ribosomal RNA". It matches the Rfam family "Bacterial small subunit ribosomal RNA", at positions 104 to 334 of the family's 1533-position model. The record is from RNAcentral.